UCGCUUCAGCAACACAUAGACUAAAAUUGGAACAGUCCACAGGGGAGGAACAUGGCCCCCUGUGCAAGGAUGACACGCAAAUUCACGAAGGAGGAGAAGCUCGA
RNAcentral lists this small nuclear RNA (104 nucleotides) under Erinaceus europaeus (western European hedgehog). Lineage: Eukaryota; Metazoa; Chordata; Mammalia; Eulipotyphla; Erinaceidae. The record is from RNAcentral.